RNAcentral lists this ribosomal RNA (585 nucleotides) under Agrobacterium tumefaciens. RNAcentral describes it as "bacterial SSU rRNA". It matches the Rfam family "Bacterial small subunit ribosomal RNA", at positions 82 to 702 of the family's 1533-position model. The record is from RNAcentral. Lineage: Bacteria; Pseudomonadati; Pseudomonadota; Alphaproteobacteria; Hyphomicrobiales; Rhizobiaceae.
CCCCGCAAGGGGAGUGGCAGACGGGUGAGUAACGCGUGGGAACAUACCCUUUCCUGCGGAAUAGCUCCGGGAAACUGGAAUUAAUACCGCAUACGCCCUACGGGGGAAAGAUUUAUCGGGGAAGGAUUGGCCCGCGUUGGAUUAGCUAGUUGGUGGGGUAAAGGCCUACCAAGGCGACGAUCCAUAGCUGGUCUGAGAGGAUGAUCAGCCACAUUGGGACUGAGACACGGCCCAAACUCCUACGGGAGGCAGCAGUGGGGAAUAUUGGACAAUGGGCGCAAGCCUGAUCCAGCCAUGCCGCGUGAGUGAUGAAGGCCUUAGGGUUGUAAAGCUCUUUCACCGGAGAAGAUAAUGACGGUAUCCGGAGAAGAAGCCCCGGCUAACUUCGUGCCAGCAGCCGCGGUAAUACGAAGGGGGCUAGCGUUGUUCGGAAUUACUGGGCGUAAAGCGCACGUAGGCGGAUAUUUAAGUCAGGGGUGAAAUCCCAGAGCUCAACUCUGGAACUGCCUUUGAUACUGGGUAUCUUGAGUAUGGAAGAGGUAAGUGGAAUUCCGAGUGUAGAGGUGAAAUUCGUAGAUAUUCGGA